UUCUAUAUAAUUCUUCCACUAUUAUAAUCGUUAUUUCCUUCUCUACAAGUUGAUCGAAGCAAAAUACUCAAUUGCAAAGGUGAGUCGACAAAGCCGCUGCACUGGAGAACUCCACCGUGGUGAGUUGCUGUUUUUCAUUUUUUUUUUCGCCAACCGAUACCCCUUAACGUAUUUUUUCACUGGGAUCGAUGCAAAACUAGCCGAAAACAUCCGACCCGAGGUAAACCACUGCCGCGGGUGGCGGUACCGUUGCCGUCACUGGAGCAUGGCGGAGUAGCCAUGCCAGAAUUCUGG
RNAcentral lists this long non-coding RNA (294 nucleotides) under Carica papaya (papaya). RNAcentral describes it as "long non-coding RNA (CPAP_LNC001013)". The record is from RNAcentral. Lineage: Eukaryota; Viridiplantae; Streptophyta; Magnoliopsida; Brassicales; Caricaceae.